GACGAACGCUGGCGGCGUGCUUAACACAUGCAAGUCGAACGGUGAAAGCGGAGCUUGCUCCGCUGGAUCAGUGGCGAACGGGUGAGUAACACGUGGGCAACCUGCCCCUCACUUCGGGAUAACUCCGGGAAACCGGGGCUAAUACCGGAUAUGACCUCCCUGGGCAUCCUUGGAGGUGGAAAGUUUUUCGGUGAGGGAUGGGCCCGCGGCCUAUCAGCUUGUUGGUGAGGUAGUGGCUCACCAAGGCGACGACGGUUAGCCGGCCUGAGAGGGCGACCGGCCACACUGGGCCUGCGACACGGCCCAGACGCCUACGGGAGGCAGCAGUGGGGAAUAUUGCGCAAUGGGCGAAAGCCUGACGCAGCAGCGCCGCGUGUGGGAUGACGGCCUUCGGGUUGUAAACCGCUUUCAGCAGGGAAGAAGCCGCAAGGUGACGGUACCUGCAGAAGAAGCACCGGCUAACUACGUGCCAGCAGCCGCCGUAA
Molecule: ribosomal RNA, 485 nt
Filed under: uncultured bacterium
Lineage: Bacteria
Description: partial 16S ribosomal RNA
Rfam family: Bacterial small subunit ribosomal RNA
Source: RNAcentral